This 858-nucleotide ribosomal RNA is filed under the name uncultured Gammaproteobacteria bacterium. Its description in RNAcentral is "bacterial SSU rRNA". It matches the Rfam family "Bacterial small subunit ribosomal RNA", at positions 33 to 890 of the family's 1533-position model. Lineage: Bacteria; Pseudomonadati; Pseudomonadota; Gammaproteobacteria. The record is from RNAcentral.
ACGCUGGCGGCAGCCUCAUACAUGCAAGUCGAGCGAGAACGUUACUUCGGUAGCUAGUAAAGCGGCGGACGGGUGAGUAACGCGUAGGAAUCUACCUUUCAGCGGGGGAUAGCUCGGGGAAACCCGAAUUAAUACCGCAUACACCCUAAGGGGGAAAGAGGGCCUAUCCUUGGAAGCUCUCGCUGUUAGAUGAGCCUGCGUGAGAUUAGUUUGUUGGUGGGGUAAUGGCCUACCAAGACUACGAUCUCUAGCUGGUCUGAGAGGACGAUCAGCCACACUGGGACUGAGACACGGCCCAGACUCCUACGGGAGGCAGCAGUAGGGAAUAUUGGACAAUGGGGGCAACCCUGAUCCAGCUAUGCCGCGUGUGUGAAGAAGGCUCUAGGGUUGUAAAGCACUUUAGGUAAGGACGAAAAGAAUAUAGUUAAUACCUAUAUUCCGUGACUUAACUUACAGAAUAAGGACCGGCUAACUCCGUGCCAGCAGCCGCGGUAAUACGGAGGGUCCAAGCGUUAAUCGGAAUUACUGGGCGUAAAGCGCGCGUAGGCGGUUUGUCAAGUUGGAUGUGAAAUCCCUGGGCUCAACCUAGGAACUGCAUUCAAAACUUAUAGACUAGAGUACGAUAGAGGAGAGUAGAAUUCCUGGUGUAGCGGUGAAAUGCGUAGAUAUCAGGAGGAAUACCAAUGGCGAAGGCAACUCUCUGGAUCGACACUGACGCUGAGGUGCGAAAGCGUGGGUAGCAAACAGGAUUAGAUACCCUGGUAGUCCACGCCGUAAACGAUGAGAACUAGCCGUUGGAUCUUAGAUUCAGUGGUACAGCUAACGCAUUAAGUUCUCCGCCUGGGGAGUACGGCCGCA